RNAcentral lists this ribosomal RNA (841 nucleotides) under uncultured bacterium. Its description in RNAcentral is "bacterial SSU rRNA". It matches the Rfam family "Bacterial small subunit ribosomal RNA", at positions 505 to 1334 of the family's 1533-position model. The record is from RNAcentral.
GUGCCAGCCGCCGCGUAAUACGGAGGGGCGGAGCGUUGUCCGGAAUUACUGGGCGUAAAGAGCUCGUAGGUGGUUUGUCGCGUUGUUCGUGAAAACUCACAACUCAAUUGUGGGCGUGCGGGCGAUACGGGCAGACUUGAGUACUGCAGGGGAGACUGGAAUUCCUGGUGUAGCGGUGGAAUGCGCAGAUAUCAGGAGGAACACCGGUGGCGAAGGCGGGUCUCUGGGCAGUAACUGACGCUGAGGAGCGAAAGCGUGGGGAGCGAACAGGAUUAGAUACCCUGGUAGUCCACGCCGUAAACGGUGGGUACUAGGUGUGGGUUUCCUUCCUUGGGAUCCGUGCCGUAGCUAACGCAUUAAGUACCCCGCCUGGGGAGUACGGCCGCAAGGCUAAAACUCAAAGAAAUUGACGGGGGCCCGCACAAGCGGCGGAGCAUGUGGGAUUAAUUCGAUGCAACGCGAAGAACCUUACCUGGUUUUGACAUGCACAGGACGCCGGCAGAGAUGUCGGUUCCCUUGUGGCCUGGUGUGCGGGGGGGGCAUGGCUGUCGUCAGCUCGUGUCGUGAGAUGUUGGGUUAAGUCCCGCAACGAGCGCAACCCUUGGUCCUAUGUUGCCAGCGGGUUAUGCCGGGGACUCGUAGGAGACUGCCGGGGGUCAACUCGGAGGGAGGGUGGGGGAUGACGUCAAGUCAUCAUGCCCCUUAUGUCCAGGGGUUUCACACAUGCUACAAUGGCCGGUACAAAGGGCUGCGAUGCCGUGAGGUGGAGCGAAUCCCUUUUCAAGCCGGUCUUCAGUUCGGAUCGGGGGUCUGGAACUUCGACCCCGUGAAGUCGGGAUCU